ACCGGGUCCAGCGGGGUGGCGUGCUGUGCAGACCCCGAGGCUAGACGGCCUAGGCCCCUGGAGCCCAAGAGACGCUUCCUUGGGGGGAACUUGCGGCUUGGGAGGGGACACCCACUGGAUGGCUUCUGGAAACAGCCGGACUCGCAGGGCCAGGACGCAGGCCGGACCCCGGCCUCAUUCUUCGGCCAGUUAUCCCGGAGUGGCGCGCAUCCUGUCUUCCUGGGCCUCGGACUGCUCGCGGGCAGAGGGGGCCCGAGGACACCUCUGUGGGGUUAGAGGACUCGGUAUGACGGUGUGGAAGGCAAGGAGGAGGGUCGCGUUGUAUUGGGGUUGGGGUACCCGUUCCUCCCAGCUUGAGGGAUCCUCGGGGUCCUCGCCGCCUCUGAGGGCCUAGGUGGCUGCUUCCCUCGGCUCCCCUGCCCGGCCUGGAGCUACGGGUGCGCCCAGCUAGAGUUUAGGGCCACCUGGGGACGUGCAAGGGGCGCUGGAGCGAGGCGGGGGCUGGGGCGGGGCGUGGGUGCUUCACCCGCGGGGGACGCAGAGCUUAGGCGAAAGCGGUGCAGGCAUCUCUCUAAUCGCCGGCCGCUAUUAAAAAUAAAACCGCGACCCGUCGCCAUGGCGACCACAACAACAGCGGCCGCGCGAGGGAGGCGAAAACUUGUGCAGCCGCGCGACAGCCGCCUUCUGGGGAGACUCGGGGCACGGCGCACCCGGCGUGGGAAUGGGACCCCCCUGCCCGGCCCCGCCACAUUCUCCGCCGGAUCCCCGGAAGAAACAAGGAGACGUGGACCCCCACAGGCUUUUUGGGGGGAUUGGGCGUUGAAACCGCAGGGCUGACUUAACCAAGAGGUCACCGACUUGGAUAAAAAUCCCACGCCCGCGCGGACCCCCCUCCCCGGCCUUCGUUUCCAUUCAGACUCCCAGCGUCCUCAUUGCAGCCCCUGGGGAGGGGGACGGAGGGACGAGGUGGGUUUCAGGUGCUCGGCCCAGGAGGGGACGGUGCGACCCGGGCCCUGCCGGCGGGUUUUGCGCGCGGAGGCUGCAGCACCUGCCCCGCCCGCCCUGCCGCGAUCCUUGCAGAUGGGGGCGGUCACAUGCUUCUUUCUGGCCAGGAAUCGAGUUUCACUUCCAGCCGCUAUUAGUCGGUUCACACAGUUCACUGCAAACAUUUGAUAAUGAGGCUAAAUAUACUCCCGCGUCGGAGGAGGCGUGGGCGUCCCCGCCCAGGCCCGGGAGACAGAGGCGCGGACCCCGGGACGGAGCCUGGCUUUGUGCGGGAGGCAGACGCGCCCCGCGCGCCGCCCCCGAAACAUUCGCACCCCAUGCUGAGGCGCGCGUCUGGGAGUCCGUGGGCGCCCCGAGCUACGUCGAUGGCGCCAGGUGCCAAGCUCUUUCCUUGUAUAAUUUCAUGGACACUCACACAUCAACUCUAAGCGAAGACUUGGAGCGGGGCUCAGCACCCCCGGGGUACCUCUGCAACCUCGGUAAAUAUAGACUAUCCUCAAUUCGCAGGGGCAUUUGUACGUGGGGUGUACAGGCAGGAACAGGAAAGACGCUGUGGCCACCCAGGAGUAGGGGUGGCAGCAAACACCCCCUGGAUCCCGAGUUCCAAGGUGCAGGGAGGGGGGCAGAGGCCAGUUCCCUCCGCUCUCUGCCCCUUGACCUUGGCCUUGGUGAGCUCUGUCCCUAGACUGCCCUGGGUGUCUGUUCCCUCAUCUGAAAAGCGUGAGGCCGACAGCCGUCACUGCGCACAGCUGCCUCCACUGUCGGGAAGCCUCCCUCCAGCCCACCUGCCCAGGAAAAGCUGCGAAAUGAAGUUGAAAAUAGCACACGAGCCCACUAUCAUUGUGUGAACAUUUUGUGAAUGAAGACACGUAUGAAAGGAUGUUUGGAGGCUUCAAGAAACGAAAGCCGAGAGUCUAGCUAGACCAGAGCCAUCCAGCCCAGGAGCGAUGGCCACGUGUGGCCGCUGGACACGAGACGUGGCCGGUCCAAACUGCACAGUGCGGGGCAGUGGAAGCCGUUGGAGGGCCUCAGGCAGGAACACAAGGUGUCGUGGCAUAAAGGAAGAAGGGGCCGGGCACGGUGGCCCACACCCAUCAUCCCAGCACUUUGGGAGGGAGGCCAAGGCAGGAGGAUCGCUUCAGCCCAGGAGUUCAAGAUCAGCCUGGGCAACACAGCAAGACCCCGUCUCUACUAAAACCCUAAAACUUAGCCAGGCUUGGUGGCAUGUGCCUAAGGUGCCAGGUCCUCGGGAGACUAAGGCAGGAGGAUUGCUUAAGCCCAAGAGUUUGAGGCUGCAGUUAAUUAUUAUCACACCACUGCACUCAGCCUGGGUGACACAGUGACUCUGUCUCAAAACUAAAUAAAUAAAGGAACAA
Gorilla gorilla gorilla (western lowland gorilla) is the source of this 2381-nucleotide long non-coding RNA. RefSeq lists it as uncharacterized. The transcript is spliced from 5 exons. The record is from RefSeq and is a predicted model, not a curated record. Lineage: Eukaryota; Metazoa; Chordata; Mammalia; Primates; Hominidae.